UUAAGCGACUAAGCGUACACGGUGGAUGCCCUGGCAGUCAGAGGCGAUGAAGGACGUGCUAAUCUGCGAUAAGCGUCGGUAAGGUGAUAUGAACCGUUAUAACCGGCGAUUUCCGAAUGGGGAAACCCAGUGUGUUUCGACACACUAUCAUUAACUGAAUCCAUAGGUUAAUGAGGCGAACCGGGGGAACUGAAACAUCUAAGUACCCCGAGGAAAAGAAAUCAACCGAGAUUCCCCCAGUAGCGGCGAGCGAACGGGGAGCAGCCCAGAGCCUGAAUCAGUGUGUGUGUUAGUGGAAGCGUCUGGAAAGGCGCGCGAUACAGGGUGACAGCCCCGUACACAAAAAUGCACAUGCUGUGAGCUCGAUGAGUAGGGCGGGACACGUGGUAUCCUGUCUGAAUAUGGGGGGACCAUCCUCCAAGGCUAAAUACUCCUGACUGACCGAUAGUGAACCAGUACCGUGAGGGAAAGGCGAAAAGAACCCCGGCGAGGGGAGUGAAAAAGAACCUGAAACCGUGUACGUACAAGCAGUGGGAGCCUCUUUUAUGGGGUGACUGCGUACCUUUUGUAUAAUGGGUCAGCGACUUAUAUUCUGUAGCAAGGUUAACCGAAUAGGGGAGCCGAAGGGAAACCGAGUCUUAACUGGGCGUUAAGUUGCAGGGUAUAGACCCGAAACCCGGUGAUCUAGCCAUGGGCAGGUUGAAGGUUGGGUAACACUAACUGGAGGACCGAACCGACUAAUGUUGAAAAAUUAGCGGAUGACUUGUGGCUGGGGGUGAAAGGCCAAUCAAACCGGGAGAUAGCUGGUUCUCCCCGAAAGCUAUUUAGGUAGCGCCUCGUGAAUUCAUCUCCGGGGGUAGAGCACUGUUUCGGCAAGGGGGUCAUCCCGACUUACCAACCCGAUGCAAACUGCGAAUACCGGAGAAUGUUAUCACGGGAGACACACGGCGGGUGCUAACGUCCGUCGUGAAGAGGGAAACAACCCAGACCGCCAGCUAAGGUCCCAAAGUCAUGGUUAAGUGGGAAACGAUGUGGGAAGGCCCAGACAGCCAGGAUGUUGGCUUAGAAGCAGCCAUCAUUUAAAGAAAGCGUAAUAGCUCACUGGUCGAGUCGGCCUGCGCGGAAGAUGUAACGGGGCUAAACCAUGCACCGAAGCUGCGGCAGCGACGCUUAUGCGUUGUUGGGUAGGGGAGCGUUCUGUAAGCCUGCGAAGGUGUACUGUGAGGUAUGCUGGAGGUAUCAGAAGUGCGAAUGCUGACAUAAGUAACGAUAAAGCGGGUGAAAAGCCCGCUCGCCGGAAGACCAAGGGUUCCUGUCCAACGUUAAUCGGGGCAGGGUGAGUCGACCCCUAAGGCGAGGCCGAAAGGCGUAGUCGAUGGGAAACAGGUUAAUAUUCCUGUACUUGGUGUUACUGCGAAGGGGGGACGGAGAAGGCUAUGUUGGCCGGGCGACGGUUGUCCCGGUUUAAGCGUGUAGGCUGGUUUUCCAGGCAAAUCCGGAAAAUCAAGGCUGAGGCGUGAUGACGAGGCACUACGGUGCUGAAGCAACAAAUGCCCUGCUUCCAGGAAAAGCCUCUAAGCAUCAGGUAACAUCAAAUCGUACCCCAAACCGACACAGGUGGUCAGGUAGAGAAUACCAAGGCGCUUGAGAGAACUCGGGUGAAGGAACUAGGCAAAAUGGUGCCGUAACUUCGGGAGAAGGCACGCUGAUAUGUAGGUGAAGUCCCUCGCGGAUGGAGCUGAAAUCAGUCGAAGAUACCAGCUGGCUGCAACUGUUUAUUAAAAACACAGCACUGUGCAAACACGAAAGUGGACGUAUACGGUGUGACGCCUGCCCGGUGCCGGAAGGUUAAUUGAUGGGGUUAGCGCAAGCGAAGCUCUUGAUCGAAGCCCCGGUAAACGGCGGCCGUAACUAUAACGGUCCUAAGGUAGCGAAAUUCCUUGUCGGGUAAGUUCCGACCUGCACGAAUGGCGUAAUGAUGGCCAGGCUGUCUCCACCCGAGACUCAGUGAAAUUGAACUCGCUGUGAAGAUGCAGUGUACCCGCGGCAAGACGGAAAGACCCCGUGAACCUUUACUAUAGCUUGACACUGAACAUUGAGCCUUGAUGUGUAGGAUAGGUGGGAGGCUUUGAAGUGUGGACGCCAGUCUGCAUGGAGCCGACCUUGAAAUACCACCCUUUAAUGUUUGAUGUUCUAACGUUGACCCGUAAUCCGGGUUGCGGACAGUGUCUGGUGGGUAGUUUGACUGGGGCGGUCUCCUCCUAAAGAGUAACGGAGGAGCACGAAGGUUGGCUAAUCCUGGUCGGACAUCAGGAGGUUAGUGCAAUGGCAUAAGCCAGCUUGACUGCGAGCGUGACGGCGCGAGCAGGUGCGAAAGCAGGUCAUAGUGAUCCGGUGGUUCUGAAUGGAAGGGCCAUCGCUCAACGGAUAAAAGGUACUCCGGGGAUAACAGGCUGAUACCGCCCAAGAGUUCAUAUCGACGGCGGUGUUUGGCACCUCGAUGUCGGCUCAUCACAUCCUGGGGCUGAAGUAGGUCCCAAGGGUAUGGCUGUUCGCCAUUUAAAGUGGUACGCGAGCUGGGUUUAGAACGUCGUGAGACAGUUCGGUCCCUAUCUGCCGUGGGCGCUGGAGAACUGAGGGGGGCUGCUCCUAGUACGAGAGGACCGGAGUGGACGCAUCACUGGUGUUCGGGUUGUCAUGCCAAUGGCACUGCCCGGUAGCUAAAUGCGGAAGAGAUAAGUGCUGAAAGCAUCUAAGCACGAAACUUGCCCCGAGAUGAGUUCUCCCUGACUCCUUGAGAGUCCUGAAGGAACGUUGAAGACGACGACGUUGAUAGGCCGGGUGUGUAAGCGCAGCGAUGCGUUGAGCUAACCGGUACUAAUGAACCGUGAGGCUUAACCUU
Molecule: ribosomal RNA, 2902 nt
Filed under: Escherichia coli
Lineage: Bacteria; Pseudomonadati; Pseudomonadota; Gammaproteobacteria; Enterobacterales; Enterobacteriaceae
Description: bacterial LSU rRNA
Rfam family: Bacterial large subunit ribosomal RNA
Source: RNAcentral